This 627-nucleotide long non-coding RNA is filed under the name Anas platyrhynchos platyrhynchos (common mallard). Its description in RNAcentral is "lncRNA (ENSAPLG00000024231.1)". The record is from RNAcentral. Lineage: Eukaryota; Metazoa; Chordata; Aves; Anseriformes; Anatidae.
GGGGCAACAACUGGUGUCAGAAUAGGAUGGCUCCUAGUUCUCAUGCAGAAUAGAGAAGUUUCUCAUUAAGCAAGUUUCAUUGAAGGAAAACCUCAUACAUCCUUCUGACUUCUAGCAUAUUUUGAAAAUCUUCACAUUGAGAGAAAUAUCCAGUAGCUGUUUAAAUGCUUGUAGGUGAUGUAACCUACCACUGCCUUCUUGUUUACACUUCUUUGUGAACAGGGACGCUCCUUGGUGCAAACUAAGUGCAGCUAGCUUGGCACCUGGGUUCUUCUACGUUAGACAGGCUGCUGCAAUUAGAGCUAAAAAUGUGAAAUUUUCUGUGAGAUCUCUAGAAGGAGCUGUAAUAGAGAAAUUAUAAGCUGACCUCUUUAAGGAUAUCUGACACCGUGAAUAUUAGAACCUGGGCUCAGUUCUCAGGAGUCAUGGGAUGUUUGGUUGUGAAAGUGCAAUAGUAAUAAUUUGAAAUAAUUUACAGUCAUGAGGGGUGCUCUGUCUGCCAUGUUCGUGGACCAAGAAAGGCGGCUGUAGCUCAAGGCAAGACUACAGCGAAUGUAGCAGUCUACUAAUACAGUAAAAUUCUGGGCUCAACUGAUACCGAUGGGGGUGAGAGGACUGUGGGCUGAA